This 211-nucleotide unclassified non-coding RNA is filed under the name Hevea brasiliensis (rubber tree). The record is from RNAcentral. Lineage: Eukaryota; Viridiplantae; Streptophyta; Magnoliopsida; Malpighiales; Euphorbiaceae.
AAGGGAUAUUUAAUAUUUCACUAUUACAGGUUGCCCAAGUACACGAGUAUAUAGGAUGACCCUUCAUUGAAUAGGUGUUGCAUAAUGGGUAUUUUGAGGAUGGGUAGUGAAGUUGUUAUUUUCAGGGGGAAUUUUACCUUAUAAAUAUGAGUGCCUUGAGGAGGACUCUCUAUCAGGCCUCAGCGUAAUGUUCGGGAUACUUUGGAAGAAC